Molecule: transfer RNA, 85 nt
Filed under: Polyangium fumosum
Lineage: Bacteria; Pseudomonadati; Myxococcota; Polyangiales; Polyangiaceae
Description: tRNA-Leu
Rfam family: tRNA
About the family: Transfer RNA (tRNA) molecules are approximately 80 nucleotides in length. Their secondary structure includes four short double-helical elements and three loops (D, anti-codon, and T loops).
Source: RNAcentral
GCGAAGGUGGCGGAAUUGGCAGACGCACUAGCUUGAGGUGCUAGCGGGUAACACCGUGCGGGUUCAAGUCCCGCCCUUCGCACCC